AGUGAACGCUGGCGGUAGGCCUAACACAUGCAAGUCGAACGGCAGCACAGUAAGAGCUUGCUCUUACGGGUGGCGAGUGGCGGACGGGUGAGGAAUACAUCGGAAUCUACUUUUUCGUGGGGGAUAACGUAGGGAAACUUACGCUAAUACAGCAUACGACCUACGGGUGAAAGCAGGGGAGCUUCGGAACUUGCGCGAUUGAAUGAGCCGAUGCCGGAUUAGCUAGUUGGCGGGGUAAAGGCCGACCAAGGCGACGAUCCGUAGCUGGUCUGAGAGGAGGAUCAGCCACACUGGAACUGAGACACGGUCCAGACUCCUACGGGAGGCAGCAGUGGGGAAUAUUGGACAAUGGGCGCAAGCCUGAUCCAGCCAUACCGCGUGGGUGAAGAAGGCCUUCGGGUUGUAAAGCCCUUUUGUUGGGAAAGAAAAGCAGCAGGUUAAUACCACGCUGUUCUGACGGUACCCAAAGAAUAAGCACCGGCUAACUUCGUG
Molecule: ribosomal RNA, 492 nt
Filed under: uncultured bacterium
Lineage: Bacteria
Description: partial 16S ribosomal RNA
Rfam family: Bacterial small subunit ribosomal RNA
Source: RNAcentral